UACGUAGGCAGCGAGCGUUGUUCGGAGUUACUGGGCGUAAAGGGUGUGUAGGCGGUCCUCCAAGUUUGGUGUGAAAUCGCCCGGCUCAACUGGGCGGGGUCAGCGGAUACGGCGCGGCUGGAGCAAGCUAGGGGGCAAUGGAAUUCCCGGUGUAGUGGUGGAAUGCGUAGAUAUCGGGAGGAACACCAGUGGCGAAGGCGGUUGCCUGGAGCUUUGCUGACGCUGAGGCGCGAAAGCGUGGGGAGCGAUCCGG
This 253-nucleotide ribosomal RNA is filed under the name uncultured bacterium. Its description in RNAcentral is "partial 16S ribosomal RNA". It matches the Rfam family "Bacterial small subunit ribosomal RNA", at positions 524 to 776 of the family's 1533-position model. The record is from RNAcentral.